Molecule: ribosomal RNA, 1345 nt
Filed under: uncultured bacterium
Lineage: Bacteria
Description: bacterial SSU rRNA
Rfam family: Bacterial small subunit ribosomal RNA
Source: RNAcentral
GAUGAACGCUAGCGGGAGGCCUAACACAUGCAAGCCGAGCGGUAUUGUUUCUUCGGAAAUGAGAGAGCGGCGUACGGGUGCGGAACACGUGUGCAACCUGCCUUUAUCUGGGGGAUAGCCUUUCGAAAGGAAGAUUAAUACUCCAUAACAUAUUGAUUGGCAUCAAUUAAUAUUGAAAGCUCCGGCGGAUAGAGAUGGGCACGCGCAAGAUUAGCUAGUUGGUGAGGUAACGGCUCACCAAGGCGAUGAUCUUUAGGGGGCCUGAGAGGGUGAUCCCCCACACUGGUACUGAGACACGGACCAGACUCCUACGGGAGGCAGCAGUGAGGAAUAUUGGUCAAUGGGUGCAAGCCUGAACCAGCCAUCCCGCGUGAAGGACGACUGCCCUAUGGGUUGUAAACUUCUUUUGUAUAGGGAUAAACCUACCCUCGUGAGGGUAGCUGAAGGUACUAUACGAAUAAGCACCGGCUAACUCCGUGCCAGCAGCCGCGGUAAUACGGAGGGUGCAAGCGUUAUCCGGAUUUAUUGGGUUUAAAGGGUCCGUAGGCGGACUUAUAAGUCAGUGGUGAAAGCCUGUCGCUUAACGAUAGAACUGCCAUUGAUACUGUAAGUCUUGAGUAUAUUUGAGGUAGCUGGAAUAAGUAGUGUAGCGGUGAAAUGCAUAGAUAUUACUUAGAACACCAAUUGCGAAGGCAGGUUACCAAGAUAUAACUGACGCUGAGGGGCGAAAGCGUGGGGAGCGAACAGGAUUAGAUACCCUGGUAGUCCACGCCGUAAACGAUGCUAACUCGUUUUUGGGCUUUAGGGUUCAGAGACCAAGCGAAAGUGAUAAGUUAGCCACCUGGGGAGUACGCUCGCAAGAGUGAAACUCAAAGGAAUUGACGGGGGCCCGCACAAGCGGUGGAUUAUGUGGUUUAAUUCGAUGAUACGCGAGGAACCUUACCAAGACUUAAAUGGGAAUUGACAGCUUUAGAAAUAGAGCUUUCUUCGGACAAUUUUCAAGGUGCUGCAUGGUUGUCGUCAGCUCGUGCCGUGAGGUGUUAGGUUAAGUCCUGCAACGAGCGCAACCCCUGUCACUAGUUGCCAUCAUUCAGUUGGGGACUCUAGUGAGACUGCCUACGCAAGUAGAGAGGAAGGUGGGGAUGACGUCAAAUCAUCACGGCCCUUACGUCUUGGGCCACACACGUAAUACAAUGGCCGGUACAGAGGGCAGCUACACAGCGAUGUGAUGCAAAUCUCGAAAGCCGGUCUCAGUUCGGAUUGGAGUCUGCAACUCGACUCUAUGAAGCUGGAAUCGCUAGUAAUCGCGCAUCAGCCAUGGCGCGGUGAAUACGUUCCCGGGCCU